CAAAUCUUAAGUCUCACCAUUUUCCGAUUAUUCAAGUCAUCGGUUCGAACCUUACACACCAUGAGCGACCUCCCUCCAUAUCCGCCGCUCGAUCCCACCACCUACGACCUCAUCAUCGUCGGCACCGGAGUUCCCUCAUCCAUCCUCGCCGCCGCCGCUUCCUCCUCCGGCACCUCAGUUCUCCACCUCGAUCCCAACCCCUUCUACGGCUCUCACUCCGCAUCCCUCUCCCUCCCCGAUCUCACUUCCUUCCUCCACUCAAACUCCCUCUCCCCUCCCUCUCCUCCGCCGCCGUCAGACACUCCCGACUUCCUCUCCGUCGAUCUCGCCACACGAUCCCUAUACUCCUCCGUCGAGAUCGCGACCUUCGACUCCUCGAUCCUCGACGAACGCCACUCCAGGAAGUUCAACGUCGACUUGUGCGGUCCUAGGGUUCUCUUCUGCGCCGACGAGUCGAUCAACCUAAUGCUGAGAUCGGGAUCUAACAACUACGUGGAGUUCAAGAGCGUGGACGCGAGCUUCGUCGGGGACUCGAGCGGAGAGCUGAGGAGCGUCCCGGAUUCGAGAGCGGCGAUAUUCAAGGAUAAGAGUUUGGGUCUGAUGGAGAAGAAGCAGUUGAUGAAGUUCUUUAAGCUUGUUCAAGCUCACUUGGCUGCUUCCUCCACGGAGAGGGAUGAGGGGGUGGUUAAGAUUGCUGAGGAAGAUAUGGAGUCUCCGUUUGUUGAGUUCUUGGCUAAGAUGCCUUUGCCUCCCAAAAUCAAAUCGAUCAUCUUGUAUGGCAUUGCGAUGGUAGACUAUGAUCAAGACAAUGUGGAAGCUUGUGGAGAUUUACUCAAGACCAAAGAGGGGAUAGCUCGAUUGGCUUUGUACAUUACAUCUAUUGGCAGAUUUUCAAACGCACUUGGGGCGUUGAUAUAUCCUAUUUAUGGACAAGGAGAGCUUCCUCAAGCCUUUUGCCGUAGAGCCGCUGUCAAAGGAUGCAUCUAUGUUCUCCGGAUGCCUAUUACUGCUCUGCUUUUAGACAAGGAAACUGGGGGUUACAAAGGGGUUAGACUAGCUACGGGUCAAGAGAUAUUCAGCCAAAAGUUGAUUCUUGACCCAUGUAUUACUGUUGGAUCGGAGUCAAUGUCGACAUUGACUGAUCAGCAGAAAGAAACUCUUCGUGUUCUUGUCCCAAAGUCGAUAAGCAGCGAGGGGAAAAUAGCUAGAGGAAUUUGUAUCAUUAGAGGUUCUGUGAAAGCUGAUAUAUCAAACGCUCUUGUCGUAUAUCCACCUAAAUCUUUGUUUCCUGAACAGUUAGCUGCGAUUCGGGUUCUGCAGCUUGGUAGUGGUUUAGCGGUUUGUCCAGCUGACAUGCAUGUUUUAUAUUUUUCAACUGUGUGUGAAAACGAUGAUCAAGGGAAAGCUGCACUGUUAUCUGCCAUGAGUACUCUCAUUAAACCGCAGGUUCCUGAGAAUCUCCAAAGCGAUUCAGCUGUCGAGAACGACACUGCUGAAGCAGCAAAACCUGUUGUGCUCUGGAGAGCACUGUACGUGCAAGCGAUGGUCAAGGGUGAAUUUGGAGGCAGUAUCAGUUCAGCAGCUAGUCCAGAUGGAAAUUUGAACUACAAUGAGAUGGUGGAAUCAGCCGUGAAGCUAUAUGAGCAACUCAUGGGGAGUGAAGAAUUGUUUAAAGAAGAAACUUCGCUGGACAACACAACAGAGGAGGAAAACGAUGGUGGUGUUGAAAUAGAAGCUUGAUGAACCAUGUGAUAUCUCUCAUAACAUACUAUAGUUCACAGUGUAUUUUUAACAGUUUUGUGUAUGGACAUGUAUUUUCAUAUAAACAGACGUUUCUCUCUUACAGCAUUUAUUUUCCAAUACAACGAAUACACAACAAAUAUU
Molecule: RNA transcript, 1884 nt
Organism: Brassica rapa (field mustard)
Lineage: Eukaryota; Viridiplantae; Streptophyta; Magnoliopsida; Brassicales; Brassicaceae
Gene name: rab escort protein 1
Source: RefSeq, a predicted model, not a curated record